RNAcentral lists this non-coding RNA (30 nucleotides) under Rattus norvegicus (Norway rat). The record is from RNAcentral. Lineage: Eukaryota; Metazoa; Chordata; Mammalia; Rodentia; Muridae.
UGUGACAGUAUUUGUCUUUUCCAUGGUGUA